RNAcentral lists this ribosomal RNA (253 nucleotides) under uncultured bacterium. RNAcentral describes it as "partial 16S ribosomal RNA". It matches the Rfam family "Bacterial small subunit ribosomal RNA", at positions 524 to 776 of the family's 1533-position model. The record is from RNAcentral.
UACGAAGGGGGCGAGCGUUGUUCGGAUUUACUGGGCGUAAAGGGCGCGCAGGCGGCUCAUUUUGUCAGGCGUGAAAGCCCCGGGCUUAACCUGGGAACUGCGUUUGAUACGGGUGGGCUAGAGUUCGGGAGAGGAGAGUGGAAUUCCCAGUGUAGAGGUGAAAUUCGUAGAUAUUGGGAAGAGCACCGGUGGCGAAGGCGGCUCUCUGGACCGAUACUGACGCUGAGGCGCGAAAGCGUGGGGAGCAAACAGG